UACGGAGGGUGCAAGCGUUGUCCGGAAUCACUGGGCGUAAAGGGCGCGUAGGCGGCUCAUGAAGGCUGUGGUGAAAGUCCGGGGCUCAACCUCGGAUCGGCCGUGGCGACUCGUGGGCUGGAGCACUGUAGAGGCGGGUGGAAUUCCGGGUGUAGCGGUGGAAUGCGUAGAGAUCCGGAAGAACACCAGUGGCGAAGGCGGCCCGCUGGGCAGUGGCUGACGCUGAGGCGCGACAGCGUGGGGAGCAAGAG
This 251-nucleotide ribosomal RNA is filed under the name uncultured bacterium. RNAcentral's name for it is "partial 16S ribosomal RNA". It matches the Rfam family "Bacterial small subunit ribosomal RNA", at positions 524 to 774 of the family's 1533-position model. The record is from RNAcentral.